Leptopilina boulardi is the source of this 1981-nucleotide long non-coding RNA. RefSeq lists it as uncharacterized. The transcript has 5 exons. The record is from RefSeq and is a predicted model, not a curated record. NCBI's taxonomy places the organism in Eukaryota, Metazoa, Arthropoda, Insecta, Hymenoptera, Figitidae.
CUGGUGUGACCACCAUUUGCUUUGACACCGGCUAUGUAUGUAUAUCAUGUAUAUUGAAAAGUUUUUACAUUUUUGAGAAUAAUUUUUAUGAAAAUAAGUAUUUGUGAUUAAUAUUUUUCUUAUAUUUGCAUGUUACGUAAAAAUUAAACAUUUUUAUAUAUUUUACAAUAAAAAUUUGUGUUUUAAUCAUUUUUCGGCAUUGCGAAAUUUUUUUGGUUAUGUCGAUGCUGUGUCGACAAUUGUCAGACGGUAUUAGAAGAAGAAUUAUUAAAAAUUUGAAUUGAAGUUAUUUUUACCAUAAAAAAGCGGAAAUAAUAAAACAUUACGAAAAAGAUAUCUGAUAACGAAUAUUAGCAACGAGUAAUAAAAGUAUUGAGAAUUGGCCUGUUACAAUUAAUGAAGAUAAUUUUUAACUUGGUCUUCUGAACUUCAGUUAAAGAAAAUUAAAAUUCCGCAACAGGGACAUUUUCAUAUGUGCUUCAAAUUGAGGUGGAUGUUUUUCAAAAGCUGAGAGACCCUGUGCUGCAGUUCUUAAGUGUAUUGUUGCAUACGUUGCAUCCACAUGUGAUUCCAGAGUUUUUUUUCAAAAAUAUUUAAUGUUAUGAAGGACUUCUUCUCUAUUGGUCUAUAGAUCUACAUGAAGUUGAAUUCGCAGGUACAAGAGUUCACGAAACUAAGCCAAAUAUUGGUUUUAUAAAUGUGAGUCCAAAAAUAUAUGCAACUUAUCGGGAAAUUGUUGAAGAAUUAGGUGAAUCAUUUAAGAAAAUUCCUAGUUAUUCAUAUACUCGAUGGCUUGUUCGACAUUAGUGUAUUACUGCAAUUCUUAAAUAUUGGAAAUUGAUUUUUCAAUUUUUAAUGGUUGUUGAAUCAGAAGAUAAAUCUCUGAAGGCUAAUAAGUUACUUGGUUUAAUGCAAGAACCAUUAACUUUGGCGAAUUUUUAUUUCUUGCCGUUCACGCUGAAUAAAUUCAGUAUUUUUAAUGCUUCUUUUCAAAAGCGUGAAACAAUGACUCAAAAACUCAGUCCCAAUCAGCCGGUUUCUAAUAUUAGAUUUUACAAAAAUAUUGUAAAAAUGGACUUCUUCAAACACCCUUAAUAUUUUUCCGAUCAGCAAGGAGUGUAAAAUUUGAAAAAGCUUGUAAUCAAAAAGCAGUCGAACAUAUAGGUAAUGAAGCGCAGGAAUAUUUUUUAUAAAUUGUUAACGGGAAAUUGAAGCAAGAGAAAAUUGAUGAGUUUUAAAAGAAAGUUUUGGAAUUUUAUGUUACAGCAAGUUACGAAAUUAUAAAGCGACUGCUUUUUUUGAUCAAUUUCUAUCUUGUGAAAGAUUCACUGGUGGCAGAAAUAUAACUUUUCAAAAAGUCUUUCACUUUCAUAAAGAUUUAAAUGUUUAUUUAGAUGUUUCUGAUUUACGAAGAAAAUGGCACGCUUUGUAUGAACUUCCUUCCGAAGAAAAAGAACAAUUGUCUGGACUAUCAUUUAAUGAUAUGUGCAUUAAGAUCUGCCUUUUUGCAGCAGAGGAUACACUUUAAAAUUCCUAAAUUUAACGAUAUCAUUAAAUUUAGUUAGGACGCUUCAUCCUACAAAUUCAGAGGCAGAAAGGUCAUUCUCUAUGCUCAAGGAAGCUAAAUGGAAAAAAAUCGCUUGGGGGAGGAACCUCUUAAUUCUACUUUGGUUAUAAGAUCUGCAUUGAAAUCUUGGAACAAAACUGCAAAAACAAUGCAGAUAUCGAAGGAUCAUUUUGAAUUGAUGAAAAAGGAUAUUUAUAAAUUUCAGGGAGGGUCUCGUAUAAAUUACAACAGGCAGAGGAGUCCACUUAUAUCACCACCAAGUGAACUAAAGAAAAGAAGAAAAUUUUUUGUUUACAAAAAUAUUAAUUUGAUUUUUAAUUAUUAUUUUUAUUUCAGUGAGAGGCAAUGUGAUAAAAAAUCGAUGCAGCUCUCCAAAAAUAAUAUAUAAAUAAUAAAAAAUAAUAAUAAAUAAUA